Molecule: unclassified non-coding RNA, 377 nt
Filed under: uncultured Alphaproteobacteria bacterium
Lineage: Bacteria; Pseudomonadati; Pseudomonadota; Alphaproteobacteria
Description: contains 16S-23S intergenic spacer region
Source: RNAcentral
UCCCGCUUAUCACGGGCAGUUCCCCCAAAGUGCCCAGCUUGACCUGCUGGCAACCGAGGGUGUGGGUUGCGCUCGUUGCCGGACUUAACCGAACAUCUCACGACACGAGCUGACGACAGCCAUGCAGCACCUGUCUCCCUGCCCCUUGCGGGGAAACCGACUCUCGCCGGCGGUCAGGGGAUGUCAAGGGUUGGUAAGGUUCUGCGCGUUGCAUCGAAUUAAUCCACAUCAUCCACCGCUUGUGCGGGUCCCCGUCAAUUCCUUUGAGUUUUAAUCUUGCGACCGUACUCCCCAGGCGGGAAGCUUAAUGCGUUAGCUGCGCCACCGACAGGUAAACCUGCCGACGGCUAGCUUCCAUCGUUUACGGCGUGGACUAC